Oncorhynchus tshawytscha (Chinook salmon) is the source of this 381-nucleotide long non-coding RNA. The record is from Ensembl. NCBI's taxonomy places the organism in Eukaryota, Metazoa, Chordata, Actinopteri, Salmoniformes, Salmonidae.
CCGGCCAUGAACAUUGUUCCCAUAUCUGACGCCUCACCAGCUAUAGUAUGUUGACAAGGGCCAAAGGGGCCCCUAGUGCUGAGGCCUGGGGUUCCACAGGAUCCACAGGGACCGUACAGGAGGGUCCACAGGGCCGGCAGACAUCCAUCACCAAUCCGCCCAAAGCUACCAUGAUGGUCCAGACCAGAGCUCCAGAGGAGACCGUUCACUAUCAAACUCACCUCAUCAACGUGAAGGAAUCAAAUGUUUACAUGGACUCCCCACGCAGCAUCAACCCCCUCCCCUUUCCUGACAUCAUGCCCAGUGGCUCCUCCCAGCCUGAGCUCCCUCAUGCAUCGACACAAGCACCACAGACAUCCCCCACAGCCCAUACCAGGGGGG